RNAcentral lists this ribosomal RNA (489 nucleotides) under uncultured bacterium. Its description in RNAcentral is "bacterial SSU rRNA". It matches the Rfam family "Bacterial small subunit ribosomal RNA", at positions 903 to 1397 of the family's 1533-position model. The record is from RNAcentral.
AAAGGAAUUGACGGGGGCCCGCACAAGCAGUGGAGUAUGUGGUUUAAUUCGAAGCAACGCGAAGAACCUUACCGGGGCUUGACAUGGGGACGACAGGCAUAGAGAUAUGCUCUUCUUCGGACGUCCCACACAGGUGGUGCAUGGUUGUCGUCAGCUCGUGUCGUGAGAUGUUGGGUUAAGUCCCGCAACGAGCGCAACCCUUAUCAUUAGUUGCUACAUUAGGUUGAGCACUCUAAUGAGACUGCCGUUUUAAAGCGGAGGAAGGUGGGGAUGACGUCAAAUCAUCAUGCCCUUUAUGUCCCGGGCUACACACGUACUACAAUGGCAUUUAACAAUGGGUAGCCAACCCGCGAGGGGGAGCCAAUCCCCAAAAAGUGCCUCAGUUCAGAUUGCAGGCUGCAACUCGCCUGCAUGAAGUCGGAAUUGCUAGUAAUCGCGAAUCAGCAUGUCGCGGUGAAUACGUUCCCGGGCCUUGUACACACCGCCCGU